RNAcentral lists this ribosomal RNA (484 nucleotides) under uncultured bacterium. RNAcentral describes it as "partial 16S ribosomal RNA". It matches the Rfam family "Bacterial small subunit ribosomal RNA", at positions 30 to 507 of the family's 1533-position model. The record is from RNAcentral.
AUUGAACGCUGGCGGCAGGCCUAACACAUGCAAGUCGAGCGGAUGAAGGGAGCUUGCUCCUGGAUUCAGCGGCGGACGGGUGAGUAAUGCCUAGGAAUCUGCCUGGUAGUGGGGGAUAACGUCCGGAAACGGGCGCUAAUACCGCAUACGUCCUGAGGGAGAAAGUGGGGGAUCUUCGGACCUCACGCUAUCAGAUGAGCCUAGGUCGGAUUAGCUAGUUGGUGGGGUAAAGGCCUACCAAGGCGACGAUCCGUAACUGGUCUGAGAGGAUGAUCAGUCACACUGGAACUGAGACACGGUCCAGACUCCUACGGGAGGCAGCAGUGGGGAAUAUUGGACGAUGGGCGAAAGCCUGAUCCAGCCAUGCCGCGUGUGUGAAGAAGGUCUUCGGAUUGUAAAGCACUUUAAGUUUGGAGGAAGGGCAGUAAGUUAAUACCUUGCUGUUUUGACGUUACCAACAGAAUAAGCACCGGCUAACUUCGUG